This 484-nucleotide ribosomal RNA is filed under the name uncultured bacterium. RNAcentral describes it as "partial 16S ribosomal RNA". It matches the Rfam family "Bacterial small subunit ribosomal RNA", at positions 30 to 507 of the family's 1533-position model. The record is from RNAcentral.
AUUGAACGCUGGCGGCAGGCCUAACACAUGCCAGUCGAGCGGAUGAAGGGAGCUUGCUCCUGGAUUCAGCGGCGGACGGGUGAGUAAUGCCUAGGAAUCUGCCUGGUAGUGGGGGAUAACGUCCGGAAACGGGCGCUAAUACCGCAUACGUCCUGAGGGAGAAAGUGGGGGAUCUUCGGACCUCACGCUAUCAGAUGAGCCUAGGUCGGAUUAGCUAGUUGGUGGGGUAAAGGCCUACCAAGGCGACGAUCCGUAACUGGUCUGAGAGGAUGAUCAGUCACACUGGAACUGAGACACGGUCCAGACUCCUACGGGAGGCAGCAGUGGGGAAUAUUGGACAAUGGGCGAAAGCCUGAUCCAGCCAUGCCGCGUGUGUGAAGAAGGUCUUCGGAUUGUAAAGCACUUUAAGUUGGGAGGAAGGGCAGUAAGUGAAUACCUUGCUGUUUUGACGUUACCAACAGAAUAAGCACCGGCUAACUUCGUG